CACACUGCGAGAUAUGAGCGAGAAGAAACAAUAAUGAAACCGCAACCUGACGAACAAAAACCUAAUAUGAAAGUUUAAGUGACAGAUACACGAGCAAGAAAUCGUGAAGUCCACUAGGCAAGAUGUAACUCGCUUAAAUAGAUUAGGUAAACGAGGAAAUAUUAAAGG
This is a non-coding RNA of Peptostreptococcaceae bacterium oral taxon 113, 168 nucleotides long. NCBI's taxonomy places the organism in Bacteria, Bacillati, Bacillota, Clostridia, Peptostreptococcales, Peptostreptococcaceae. The record is from Rfam.